UACGAAGGGGGGCUAGCGUUGUUCGGAUUUACUGGGCGUAAAGCACACGUAGGCGGAUCGUUAAGUCGGGGGUGAAAUCCUGGAGCUCAACUCCAGAACUGCCUUCGAUACUGGCGAUCUUGAGUCCGGAAGAGGUGAGUGGAACUCCUAGUGUAGAGGUGGAAUUCGUAGAUAUUAGGAAGAACACCAGUGGCGAAGGCGGCUCACUGGUCCGGUACUGACGCUGAGGUGCGAAAGCGUGGGGAGCAAACAGG
RNAcentral lists this ribosomal RNA (254 nucleotides) under uncultured bacterium. RNAcentral's name for it is "partial 16S ribosomal RNA". It matches the Rfam family "Bacterial small subunit ribosomal RNA", at positions 524 to 776 of the family's 1533-position model. The record is from RNAcentral.